This 425-nucleotide ribosomal RNA is filed under the name uncultured bacterium. Its description in RNAcentral is "partial 16S ribosomal RNA". It matches the Rfam family "Bacterial small subunit ribosomal RNA", at positions 354 to 796 of the family's 1533-position model. The record is from RNAcentral.
GUUAGGAAUAUUGGACAAUGGGCGCAAGCCUGAUCCAGCCAUGCCGCGUGAGUGAUGAAGGCCUUCGGGUUGUAAAGCUCUUUAGCCGAUGAUUAUAAUGACUGUAGUCGGAAAAUAAGCCCCGGCUAACUUCGUGUCAGCAGCCGCGGUAAUACGUAGGGGGCGAGCGUUAUUCGGAAUCACUGGGCGUAAAGCGUGCGUAGGCGGCUUUGCAAGUUGGGAGUGAAAGCCCAGGGCUCAACCCUGGAAUUGCUCUCAAAACUGCAAGGCUCGAAUUCGGGAGAGGAUAGCGGAAUUGUCAGUGGAGCAGUGAAAUGCGUAGAUAUUGACAGGAACACCAGUGGCGUAAGCGGCUAUCUGGACCGAUAUUGACGCUGAGGCACGAAAGCGUGGGGAUCAAACAGGAUUAGAUACCCGGGUAGUCC